AGGUGAACCUGCGGAAGGAUCAUUUAUGAUUGACCGUCUGUCGAGCUUGCUCACAGGCACAUCAUAUCCAUAACACCUGUGCACUUGUCGGAUGGCUUUGUGAAGACCGCAAGGUUGGAUCUAUCCAUCUACUUUUCAUAACAAUUCUGUAACAAAUGUAGUCUUUUUUUAACAUAAUAAAACUUUCAACAACGGAUCUCUUGGCUCUCGCAUCGAUGAAGAACGCAGCGAAAUGCGAUAAGUAAUGUGAAUUGCAGAAUUCAGUGAAUCAUCGAAUCUUUGAACGCACCUUGCGCUCCUUGGUAUUCCGAGGAGCAUGCCUGUUUGAGUGUCAUGAAAACCCUCAACCCUAGAUUGGUUUAAACCUUUCUUUGGUUUGGAUUUGGACGUUUGCCGAUGAUAAGUCGGCUCGUCUUUAAAGUAAUAGCUGGAUCUGUCUCGCGACAUGGUUUGACUUGGCGUAAUAAGUAUUUCGCUAAGGACAUCUUCGGAUGGCCGCGUUGCAGGACUAAAGACCGCUUUCGAAUCCAUUGAUCUUCGGAUUUAUACUCUUGACAUCUGGCCUCAAAUCAGGUAGGACUACCCGCUGAACUUUAGCAUAU
RNAcentral lists this ribosomal RNA (602 nucleotides) under Naganishia albida. RNAcentral describes it as "eukaryotic LSU rRNA". The stretch from base 181 to 334 matches the Rfam family "5.8S ribosomal RNA". The record is from RNAcentral. Lineage: Eukaryota; Fungi; Basidiomycota; Tremellomycetes; Filobasidiales; Filobasidiaceae.